Molecule: unclassified non-coding RNA, 329 nt
Filed under: soil metagenome
Description: partial contains 5.8S ribosomal RNA, internal transcribed spacer 2, and large subunit ribosomal RNA
Rfam family: 5.8S ribosomal RNA (bases 1-120)
Source: RNAcentral
GAUGAAGAACGCAGCGAAAUGCGAUAAGUAAUGUGAAUUGCAGAAUUCAGUGAAUCAUCGAAUCUUUGAACGCACAUUGCGCCACCUGGUAUUCCGGGGGGCAUGCCUGUCCGAGCGUCAUUACAACCCUCAAGCUCAGCUUGGUGUUGGGCCCCGCCGCCCCGGCGGGCCCUAAAGUCAGUGGCGGUGCCGUCCGGCUCCGAGCGUAGUAAUUCUUCUCGCUCUGGAGGCCCGGUCGUGUGCUCGCCAGCAACCCCCAAUUUUUUUCAGGUUGACCUCGGAUCAGGUAGGGAUACCCGCUGAACUUAAGCAUAUCAAUAAGCGGAGGA